RNAcentral lists this ribosomal RNA (253 nucleotides) under uncultured bacterium. Its description in RNAcentral is "partial 16S ribosomal RNA". It matches the Rfam family "Bacterial small subunit ribosomal RNA", at positions 524 to 776 of the family's 1533-position model. The record is from RNAcentral.
CACGGGGGGAGCAAGCGUUGUUCGGAAUCAUUGGGCGUAAAGGGCGCGUAGGUGGCGGGACAAGCGUGCGGUGAAAGCCUGGGGCUCAACCCCGGGUCGGCCGUGCGAACUGUUUUGCUUGAGCACUGUAGAGGCAGGCGGAAUUCCGGGUGUAGCGGUGGAAUGCGUAGAGAUCCGGAAGAACACCGGUGGCGAAGGCGGCCUGCUGGGCAGUAGCUGACACUGAGGCGCGACAGCGUGGGGAGCAAACAGG